Molecule: transfer RNA, 94 nt
Filed under: Thermodesulfobacteriota bacterium
Lineage: Bacteria; Pseudomonadati; Thermodesulfobacteriota
Description: tRNA-Sec
Rfam family: Selenocysteine transfer RNA
Source: RNAcentral
GGAAGUGGACAGGUCCUGGUGGGCCUCCUGGACUUCAAAUCCAGUGAUCCCGUUGACCCGGGAUGGUGGGUUCGAUUCCCAUGCACUUCCGCCA